UACGUAGGAGACGAGCGUUGUCCGGAGUUACUGGGCGUAAAGGGUGCGCAGGUGGCGGCGCGCGUGGGGGGUGAAAUCGCCCGGCUUAACUGGGCGGGGGCCUUCCAGACGGCGUGGCUUGAGCAGCGGAGGGGGACGUGGAAUUCCGGGUGGAGCGGUGAAAUGCGCAGAUAUCAGGAGGAACACCGAUGGCGAAGGCAGCUCGCUGGGACGGUACUGACGCUGAGACGCGAAAGCGUGGGGAGCAAACAGG
This 253-nucleotide ribosomal RNA is filed under the name uncultured bacterium. Its description in RNAcentral is "partial 16S ribosomal RNA". It matches the Rfam family "Bacterial small subunit ribosomal RNA", at positions 524 to 776 of the family's 1533-position model. The record is from RNAcentral.